This 590-nucleotide ribosomal RNA is filed under the name Fusarium sp. AJH22. Its description in RNAcentral is "eukaryotic LSU rRNA". It matches the Rfam family "Eukaryotic large subunit ribosomal RNA", at positions 1 to 601 of the family's 3401-position model. The record is from RNAcentral. Lineage: Eukaryota; Fungi; Ascomycota; Sordariomycetes; Hypocreales; Nectriaceae.
UUGACCUCGGAUCAGGUAGGAAUACCCGCUGAACUUAAGCAUAUCAAUAAGCGGAGGAAAAGAAACCAACAGGGAUUGCCCUAGUAACGGCGAGUGAAGCGGCAACAGCUCAAAUUUGAAAUCUGGCUCUCGGGCCCGAGUUGUAAUUUGUAGAGGAUACUUUUGAUGCGGUGCCUUCCGAGUUCCCUGGAACGGGACGCCAUAGAGGGUGAGAGCCCCGUCUGGUUGGAUGCCAAAUCUCUGUAAAGUUCCUUCAACGAGUCGAGUAGUUUGGGAAUGCUGCUCUAAAUGGGAGGUAUAUGUCUUCUAAAGCUAAAUACCGGCCAGAGACCGAUAGCGCACAAGUAGAGUGAUCGAAAGAUGAAAAGCACUUUGAAAAGAGAGUUAAAAAGUACGUGAAAUUGUUGAAAGGGAAGCGUUUAUGACCAGACUUGGGCUUGGUUAAUCAUCUGGGGUUCUCCCCAGUGCACUUUUCCAGUCCAGGCCAGCAUCAGUUUUCCCCGGGGGAUAAAGGCGGCGGGAAUGUGGCUCUCUUCGGGGAGUGUUAUAGCCCACCGUGUAAUACCCUGGGGGGGACUGAGGUUCGCGCA